AACGAACGCUGGCGGCAUGCCUAACACAUGCAAGUCGAACGAGAUCUUCGGGUCUAGUGGCGCACGGGUGCGUAACGCGUGGGAAUCUGCCCUUUGGUUCGGAAUAACAGUUGGAAACGACUGCUAAUACCGGAUGAUGACGAAAGUCCAAAGAUUUAUCGCCAGAGGAUGAGCCCGCGUAGGAUUAGCUAGUUGGUGUGAUAAAGGCGCACCAAGGCGACGAUCCUUAGCUGGUCUGAGAGGAUGAUCAGCCACACUGGGACUGAGACACGGCCCAGACUCCUCCGGGAGGAAGCAGUGGGGAAUAUUGUACAAUGGGCGAAAGCCUGAUCCAGCAAUGCCGCGUGAGUGAUGAAGGCCUUAGGGUUGUAAAGCUCUUUUACCCGGGAUGAUAAUGACAGUACCGGGAGAAUAAGCUCCGGCUAACUCCGUGCCAGCCGCCGCCGUAA
This 449-nucleotide ribosomal RNA is filed under the name uncultured bacterium. RNAcentral describes it as "partial 16S ribosomal RNA". It matches the Rfam family "Bacterial small subunit ribosomal RNA", at positions 29 to 523 of the family's 1533-position model. The record is from RNAcentral.